GAUGCAUAUGACGAUAAAAUUAGACAGGGACAUCAGAAACUCUUGAAAGAGUUUUACAUGUUGAUCAGUCUAAAAUGGGAAUCUCUCUGAUGCAUU
Molecule: small nucleolar RNA, 96 nt
Organism: Amaranthus tricolor (Joseph's coat)
Lineage: Eukaryota; Viridiplantae; Streptophyta; Magnoliopsida; Caryophyllales; Amaranthaceae
Product: small nucleolar RNA R44/J54/Z268 family
Exons: 1
Source: RefSeq, a predicted model, not a curated record